AUGUACAUUCCUACAACAUAGUGUUAAUGCACAAGAUCCCAUUAGAACUUCGUUGUUAAGCAUGCUUGGGCUAGAGUAGUGCCGGGAUGGGUGACCUCCUGAGAAUUCCUAGUAUUUUACACG
This is a non-coding RNA of Picea glauca (white spruce), 123 nucleotides long. Lineage: Eukaryota; Viridiplantae; Streptophyta; Pinopsida; Pinales; Pinaceae. The record is from Rfam.